CAGUAGCCGCGGGAAAACGGAGGGUGCAAGCGUUAAUCGGAAUUACUGGGCGUAAAGCGCACGCAGGCGGUUUGUUAAGUCAGAUGUGAAAUCCCCGAGCUUAACUUGGGAACUGCAUUUGAAACUGGCAAGCUAGAGUCUUGUAGAGGGGGGUAGAAUUCCAGGUGUAGCGGUGAAAUGCGUAGAGAUCUGGAGGAAUACCGGUGGCGAAGGCGGCCCCCUGGACAAAGACUGACGCUCAGGUGCGAAAGCGUGGGGAGCAAACAGGAUUAGAUACCCCGGUAGUCCCUGUCUCUUAUAC
RNAcentral lists this ribosomal RNA (301 nucleotides) under uncultured bacterium. RNAcentral describes it as "partial 16S ribosomal RNA". It matches the Rfam family "Bacterial small subunit ribosomal RNA", at positions 509 to 807 of the family's 1533-position model. The record is from RNAcentral.